AUGCCGUGAUGAGGGCACUUUCGUAAUAAAUCCUUAAAUCGAUCCUAUGCCUCAUAUAAAGACUCAUCAUCCAUUUGUUGGAAAGCAGUGAUCUCAUUCCUCAACUU
This is a small nucleolar RNA of Gossypium raimondii (Peruvian cotton), 107 nucleotides long. It matches the Rfam family "Plant small nucleolar RNA R71". From Rfam's summary of the family: R71 is a member of the C/D box family of snoRNAs containing the C (UGAUGA) and D (CUGA) box motifs. Multiple nearly identical copies of this snoRNA have been identified in Arabidopsis, and it is thought to function as a 2'-O-ribose methylation guide for 18S ribosomal RNA. The record is from Rfam. Lineage: Eukaryota; Viridiplantae; Streptophyta; Magnoliopsida; Malvales; Malvaceae.